CAGUAGCCGCGGGAAUACGAAGGGGGCUAGCGUUACUCGGAAUUACUGGGCGUAAAGGGCGCGUAGGCGGCACGAUUAGUCAGGCGUGAAAUUCCUGGGCUCAACCUGGGGACUGCGCUUGAUACGGCCGAGCUAGAGGAAGGAAGAGGGUCGUGGAAUUCCCAGUGUAGAGGUGAAAUUCGUAGAUAUUGGGAAGAACACCGGUGGCGAAGGCGGCGACCUGGUCCAUCACUGACGCUCAUGCACGAAAGCGUGGGGAGCAAGCAGGAUUAGAUACCCCUGUAGUCCCUGUCUCUUAUAC
Molecule: ribosomal RNA, 301 nt
Filed under: uncultured bacterium
Lineage: Bacteria
Description: partial 16S ribosomal RNA
Rfam family: Bacterial small subunit ribosomal RNA
Source: RNAcentral